This 461-nucleotide ribosomal RNA is filed under the name uncultured bacterium. RNAcentral describes it as "bacterial SSU rRNA". It matches the Rfam family "Bacterial small subunit ribosomal RNA", at positions 339 to 793 of the family's 1533-position model. The record is from RNAcentral.
CUACGGGAGGCAGCAGUGGGGAAUAUUGCACAAUGGGCGCAAGCCUGAUGCAGCCAUGCCGCGUGUAUGAAGAAGGCCUUCGGGUUGUAAAGUACUUUCAGCAGUGAGGAAGGCGGGUACGUUAAUAGCGUGCUUGUUUGACGUUAGCUGCAGAAGAAGCACCGGCUAACUCCGUGCCAGCAGCCGCGGUAAUACGGAGGGUGCGAGCGUUAAUCGGAAUUACUGGGCGUAAAGCGCAUGCAGGUGGUUUGUUAAGUCAGAUGUGAAAGCCCGGGGCUCAACCUCGGAAUAGCAUUUGAAACUGGCAGACUAGAGUACUGUAGAGGGGGUAGAAUUUCAGGUGUAGCGGUGAAAUGCGUAGAGAUCUGAAGGAAUACCAGUGGCGAAGGCGGCCCCCUGGACAAAGACUGACGCUCAGAUGCGAAAGCGUGGGGAGCAAACAGGAUUAGAUACCCUGGUAG